RNAcentral lists this ribosomal RNA (497 nucleotides) under uncultured bacterium. Its description in RNAcentral is "partial 16S ribosomal RNA". It matches the Rfam family "Bacterial small subunit ribosomal RNA", at positions 28 to 507 of the family's 1533-position model. The record is from RNAcentral.
GAUGAACGCUGGCGGCGUGCCUAAUACAUGCAAGUCGAGCGAACGGACGAGAAGCUUGCUUUUCUGAUGUUAGCGGCGGACGGGUGAGUAACACGUGGAUAACCUACCUAUAAGACUGGGAUAACUUCGGGAAACCGGAGCUAAUACCGGAUAAUAUUUUGAACCGCAUGGUUCAAAAGUGAAAGACGGUCUUGCUGUCACUUAUAGAUGGAUCCGCGCUGCAUUAGCUAGUUGGUAAGGUAACGGCUUACCAAGGCAACGAUGCAUAGCCGACCUGAGAGGCUGAUCGGCCACACUGGAACUGAGACACGGUCCAGACUCCUACGGGAGGCAGCAGUAGGGAAUCUUACGCAAUGGGCGAAAGCCUGACGGAGCAACGCCGCGUGAGUGAUGAAGGUCUUCGGAUCGUAAAACUCUGUUAUUAGGGAAGAACAUAUGUGUAAGUAACUGUGCACAUCUUGACGGUACCUAAUCAGAAAGCCACGGCUAACUACGUG